AUUGAACGCUGGCGGCAGGCCUAACACAUGCAAGUCGAGCGGAUGAAGGGAGCUUGCUCCUGGAUUCAGCGGCGGACGGGUGAGUAAUGCCUAGGAAUCUGCCUGGUAGUGGGGGAUAACGUCCGGAAACGGGCGCUAAUACCGCAUACGUCCUGAGGGAGAAAGUGGGGGAUCUUCGGACCUCACGCUAUCAGAUGGGCCUAGGUCGGAUUAGCUAGUUGGUAGGGUAAAGGCCUACCAAGGCGACGAUCCGUAACUGGUCUGAGAGGAUGAUCAGUCACACUGGAACUGAGACACGGUCCAGACUCCUACGGGAGGCAGCAGUGGGGAAUAUUGGACAAUGGGCGAAAGCCUGAUCCAGCCAUGCCGCGUGUGUGAAGAAGGUCUUCGGAUUGUAAAGCACUUUAAGUUGGGAGGAAGGGCAGUAAGUUAAUACCUUGCUGUUUUGACGUUACCAACAGAAUAAGCACCGGCUAACUUCGUG
Molecule: ribosomal RNA, 484 nt
Filed under: uncultured bacterium
Lineage: Bacteria
Description: partial 16S ribosomal RNA
Rfam family: Bacterial small subunit ribosomal RNA
Source: RNAcentral